AGAGUUUGAUCCUGGCUCAGGAUGAACGCUAGCGGUAGGCUUAAUACAUGCAAGUCGAGGGGCAGCACGGGUAGCAAUACUUGGUGGCGACCGGCGAAUGGGUGCGUAACGCGUAUGCAACCUACCUAUAACUGGGGCAUAGCUCAGAGAAAUCUGAAUUAAUUUCCCAUAAUACCAUUACUUGGCAUCAAGUUUUGGUUAAAGUUCUGACGGUUAUAGAUGAGCAUGCGUGACAUUAGCUAGUUGGUAAGGUAACGGCUUACCAAGGCUACGAUGUCUAGGGGUUCUGAGAGGAUACACCCCCACACUGGUACUGAGACACGGACCAGACUCCUACGGGAGGCAGCAGUAGGGAAUAUUGGGCAAUGGACGCAAGUCUGACCCAGCCAUGCCGCGUGCAGGAUGACAGCCUUAUGGGUUGUAAACUGCUUUUAUUCGGGAAAAAACUUUCGGACGUGUCCGGAAUUGAUGGUACCGUUUGAAUAAGCAUCGGCUAACUCCGUGCCAGCAGCCGCGGUAAUACGGAGGAUGCAAGCGUUAUCCGGAUUUAUUGGGUUUAAAGGGUGCGCAGGCGGAUUUGUAAGUCAGUUGUGAAAUCCUGUGGCUUAACUACAGAACUGCAAUUGAUACUGCAAGUCUAGAGUUUAGUUGAAGUGACUGGAAUGUGUCAUGUAGCGGUGAAAUGCAAAGAGAUGACACAGAACACCGAUAGCGAAGGCAGGUCACUAAGCUAAUACUGACGCUCAGGCACGAAAGUGUGGGGGAUCAAACAGGAUUAGAUACCCUGGUAGUCCACACUGUAAACGAUGAUAACUAGUUGU
RNAcentral lists this ribosomal RNA (821 nucleotides) under uncultured bacterium. RNAcentral describes it as "bacterial SSU rRNA". It matches the Rfam family "Bacterial small subunit ribosomal RNA", at positions 8 to 823 of the family's 1533-position model. The record is from RNAcentral.